Molecule: long non-coding RNA, 514 nt
Organism: Hordeum vulgare subsp. vulgare (domesticated barley)
Lineage: Eukaryota; Viridiplantae; Streptophyta; Magnoliopsida; Poales; Poaceae
Exons: 3
Source: RefSeq, a predicted model, not a curated record
UCAGAAUCGGCUUUUAGCACCGGUGGACGCAUCCUUGAUGACUUCCGAAGCUCUCUUACUCCAUUCAUGGUGCAGGCACUACUUUGUACUCAAGAUUGGUUGCGAAGAGAAAUUCCAAUUAACGAUGAAGAGGAUGCUGAGCUACUGGCCAACCUUGAACAAGAUGUACUUCAAGAAUUGUCUGAUCUAAACAUUGCUAAGUCUGGUACAAGUGCAAGUGUUCGCAUCACCAUUGAUGACACCGAAUCAUAAGUCUUGGGAAUACGAGAAGAACAUCAAAGGAAGUGUGCUGUUGUCAAGGAAUCCUCUCAGCUUCUUUUCUUGUGUUCUAUCUUCUAUGAUUUCCUCAGCUUGGACCUCAAGGAGUUGUGUUGCUUGAAAACUUGUUAAGCCCUUAAAUUAUUAGCUAUGGUUGUCUCAGUUUGGACCUAUUCAGCUUGAACCGUGAUAACUAUUCAGCUUGAACCAUGUUUGUUUUGUGUUUGUGACUCAGCCUGAUUUGUGACUCAAGUUA